This 749-nucleotide long non-coding RNA is filed under the name Betta splendens (Siamese fighting fish). RNAcentral's name for it is "lncRNA (ENSBSLG00000015731.1)". Lineage: Eukaryota; Metazoa; Chordata; Actinopteri; Anabantiformes; Osphronemidae. The record is from RNAcentral.
GACUCCUGCUAAUCCGUUUGCCUGCGCACCAUUGGUGGAGUGAGGCAGCGUCGGGGGCCGAGGAGAGGAGGUGCCUGAAUUCAGUCACACAUCAGUAAAGGGGCUUCAUGUCUGGCCAGUGUUUUUGGAUCAGCAGGUAGUCGCAGGCAAGCUGUUAAAGGGGUCAUCAUUCUUCUCUCUCGCUGCUCCUCACACACAGAUGGGGACCUGCUGAACUCUGCCAAAGCUUAGCGUACGGCAGGCGGAUGACACCGGACCGGACCGGACCGGACCGGACCGGACCGGACCGCCACGUCGGAUGCAUUGGAGGCAGAAGUCGUCUCCUCUGGUCAAAGCAGGAUGAACCUGAUGCUGGUUCUGCACGCUGCCAUCAAACGCCUGCAGGACCAGCACACACAGGACGAGCGGCUCCGUCAUCGGGCGGCGCCUCAUCGGACCCGCGUUCGGCGGGCGGCGAGUCCACGCCAAAUGAAAGCGGGGCCGAACCCCGGCGCCUCUCGCUCACAGAGGCUUCACACAGGCUGCGUGGGAGCCAGGGAGCGGCGCCUGAGGGCUGCUGUCAGACAGCCGGAGCAGGGUGCCGCCUCUCUUCUUAUCCUCUCUCCUCUCACUUCUUGCCGUUUGGGAUCCGCGCCGUUUUGCAGCCGAGGGCCCAUGUGGGAACCCCAGAAGGCUGGCUGACAGCCUGGAUAAACCCUCGCUCCUCCAGACAUGUUCCCCGGUCCUAUCAGCUGGGGACAGCACCUUGA